Molecule: long non-coding RNA, 447 nt
Organism: Vombatus ursinus (common wombat)
Lineage: Eukaryota; Metazoa; Chordata; Mammalia; Diprotodontia; Vombatidae
Exons: 4
Source: RefSeq, a predicted model, not a curated record
UUCAGAGAAUGAUUCCCUGCCAGAAUGCAAAGAAACUCAAUGAGGUGAACCAAGAUUUAUGUGUUUGUUACCACCAUCUGUGAACAGAAUCAUUGAAGACAACAAAGGGUUGAGGUCAUCAGAGGCUUAGAAGAAGUAGAAGCUGACAUCUACAUCAGGAGACAUGAACCAUCCAGUUGAACGUGCCAGAUACAUGUCUCAACUUUCCAUUUCUUACAAAGGGUCCUCAAUUAAACUGAAUCACAAGAAGUUGGGUCAAUUCAUUCUUUCAGGUGAAAUCUCCAGUGCAGUAAAUGAGAGACAAUGCUCUAAAAAGGAGCAGACUGAAGUCCAACCUGAAAGCGAUAGUACUGCUCAGUCAGUUCUGAAAGGAGAAAAAUGGUGCCAACUCCAGGAGGAAGCUUCAAAAACUGCAGACAUAAAGGAGUGAUAGUAAAAGCCAAAGAA